UAACAUGGGGGUCCUGCCCGCGCACCGGGAAUACGCUCUGGAAACGGAGAAAGGCCNGAUGUACAGGAAGGAGGCAUCUUCUUUCUGUGAAACAUCCUGUAAGGGAUGGGGCGCGGAUGGACCUGCNNUGCAUUAGUUGGUUGGCGAGGGUAAAGGCCCACCAAGACGAUGAUGCAUAGCCGGCCUGAGAGGGCGGACGGCCACAUUGGGACUGAGACACGGCCCAGACUCCUGCGGGAGGCAGCAGUAGGGAAUUUUCGUCAAUGGGCGCAAGCCUGAACGAGCGAUGCCGCGUGAGUGAAGAAGGCCUUCGGGUCGUAAAGCUCUGUUGCGGGGGAAAAAAGGCAUCUGCAGGAAANGGCAGACGACAGAUGGUGCCCCGCCAGAAAGUCACGGCUAACUACGUGCCNCCACCCGCGGUAAUACGUAGGUGGCGAGCGUUAUCCGGAAUGAUUGGGCGUAAAGGNUGNGCAGGCGGUCCUGYWWGUCUGGAGUGAAACGUAUGAGCUCAACUCAUGCAUGGCUCUGGAAACUGGAGGACUGGAGAGCAGGAGAGGGCGGUGGAACUCCAUGUGUAGCGGUAAAAUGCGUAGAUAUAUGGAAGAACACCAGUGGCGAAGGCGGCCGCCUGGCCUGUUGCUGACGCUGAGGCACGAAAGCGUGGGGAGCAAAUAGGAUUAGAUACCCUAGUAGU
Molecule: ribosomal RNA, 694 nt
Filed under: uncultured bacterium
Lineage: Bacteria
Description: bacterial SSU rRNA
Rfam family: Bacterial small subunit ribosomal RNA
Source: RNAcentral